This 76-nucleotide transfer RNA is filed under the name Perithemis tenera. RNAcentral describes it as "tRNA-Val". The record is from RNAcentral. Lineage: Eukaryota; Metazoa; Arthropoda; Insecta; Odonata; Libellulidae.
UAGAAAGUAUUUCAUUUACACUGAAAUUUUAAUUGUGCAAAUCAAUUUAACUUGAUUAACUUUAUCUUACUUGUAU